This 124-nucleotide non-coding RNA is filed under the name Sorghum bicolor (sorghum). The record is from RNAcentral. Lineage: Eukaryota; Viridiplantae; Streptophyta; Magnoliopsida; Poales; Poaceae.
GUGUUCGUAGAAAGGAGAGACGGUUGGCAUCUCCCCUGACAGGGACGGGAACAGUCUUCGGACUUUCCUCUAGCACAUUGCGGUUAAGGCUACCCACUUCGGUGGAUCUUACCCAAUUUUUUUU